This 253-nucleotide ribosomal RNA is filed under the name uncultured bacterium. RNAcentral's name for it is "partial 16S ribosomal RNA". It matches the Rfam family "Bacterial small subunit ribosomal RNA", at positions 524 to 776 of the family's 1533-position model. The record is from RNAcentral.
UACGUAGGGUGCAGGCGUUAGUCGGAAUUACUGGGCGUAAAGCGUGCGCAGGCGGUUUCUUAAGUCAGAUGUGAAAGCCCCGGGCUUAACCUGGGAACUGCGUUUGAAACUGGGAGACUAGAGUGUGGCAGAGGGGGGUGGAAUUCCACGUGUAGCAGUGAAAUGCGUAGAUAUGUGGAGGAACACAGAUGGCGAAGGCAACCCCCUGGGUUAACACUGACGCUCAUGCACGAAAGCGUGGGGAGCAAACAGG